ACAGUAAUUGUGGUCUAUCAGUUAUUCUAUAGAAUGGUACUUGGACAGAGCUUUAGUUGGGAUGCCAUUAUUGAAUUUCUGGUCAAAGUCUCACUUGGAGCUGUUGCCAUCAGAAU
Long non-coding RNA from Hibiscus syriacus, 116 nucleotides. RefSeq lists it as uncharacterized. The transcript has 3 exons. The record is from RefSeq and is a predicted model, not a curated record. Lineage: Eukaryota; Viridiplantae; Streptophyta; Magnoliopsida; Malvales; Malvaceae.